Molecule: RNA transcript, 2439 nt
Organism: Apodemus sylvaticus (European woodmouse)
Lineage: Eukaryota; Metazoa; Chordata; Mammalia; Rodentia; Muridae
Gene: Smim3
Gene name: small integral membrane protein 3
Exons: 3
Source: RefSeq, a predicted model, not a curated record
UGCGUUCCUCAGGUUUGGCUCCUCCCUCCUCGUUUCCGGGAGCCUUGGCUGCUAUAGCCUUCCGGGGAUGCUCUGCUUUACUUCAUGUACAGAAAGACUCCGUGCUCUUAUUUGUAUCAUACAGAAAGUAAGGCUGCUAUUUGUUGUACUGGGCGACCGCCUCUUCCUACGCCGAGCUUCCAGGCUAAUAUUCCAUCCUAACUGGGAAGCCAGCCGAGUUACAGCAACGUAUUCUUCUGACGACCUUGCCACAGACCCUUGAAUCAUACGUUCUCUCUUUUGAAAUAAUAGUAAGCUUUAUCUAGCAUUGGAGGUAUUAUUCAUUUCUAAAUAUGAGAAGUUAGCGAUAAAUCUACAUACUGUGAACAUUUAUUAUCAAUGGUGGAAGACGGGAGAUAAUACACCAAGUUGUCAAAGACCAUCUGUAUUCUGGGUGUACAUCGCGGCUGAGAUGUGAAACAGACAAAAUGCCUCCCAGAGCCAGGCACACGUGGUCUGCCACCAAGUGUUUGUAUAGUGUAUUAAGUGUCUGACUUUAGAGCCCGUGAUGGGAGCAGAAAGAGAAUCCUUCUGUCAACAUUGAGAGUGGAAGUAGAGGAAAUGCAAAACAUAACACUGCCUCAAUUCUCCUGAAACUUCAAAGGCUGAGUUUCCAUAGCAGUUGCCAACCGUGGAAGGUCCUGAGUUGAGGUGGCAACCAGCAUGAAUGCUAAGCACGGGUCAAGCCCAGGCCCAGGUAAAGGAACAGAGGGAGGAACAGAGCCAGAAGACACCUGGCUGUGUGUCUGAAGCCCUUCAGGACCAGCUUCUUCAGUGAUAUGCUCAGGCUGCAGAGACCCAGGCGGUGGCUGCAUUGGCCCUGAAGUUCAAGUUGAACCCACUGUUAACGCUGUCAGAGGUCCAAAUAAGAAGACCAGGAAAGGAAGAGCAUUUUCAAUGUGUAAGAGAGUGUGCUGGAACUGACUUACUUGUCCAGUCUCAGGUUUACUUUGUUCUGACCCACAAAGCGUGAUGGUUCCCACCAGGAAAGCAUAUUUCACAAGAGGCCCCAGGAAAGACCCAGUCACUUGCUAAACACAUUAACCACAUCUUCAGCGCUCCAGCUUGAGCUGAGAAUUUGCUGCUGCUGUGUGAGAACCGGUCUAUCUGUAAUGGUGCCAAAAGCUCUUCCAAAUAAGCUCUGCUCCUUGCCGGGAGAACAAGAUGAGUUCAGGACCGUGCACUGGGAGGAACAUAGCACACUGUCUGUGCUCCCGUGUGCUCCAGCUUCCUCCUUUGCCGCAGAGAAGGAUGUUCAGAGGGAGGGAGUGCGUUCCUCAUCGCCAGCUUACUUCUUGGGCAUUAUGUUGACUUCUUUGGUUACUCUGGAUGAUUGGCAUUUCCCAAGUGUCUCUAGUCCCAUCUAUUCACUUUGGUGUUUCUUACUGUUCAUUUUUAGAAAGUUUUUCUUUUUUAAAGACUUUACAUGUCUGAGGAAUUUUCUGCCCUCACAGGGAAGUUCAGCCUGAUAUUUGGUUCCUGUUGAGCCACUCUGUGAAGCCAGUCUCUAAGCUUUCUCUGGUGGUCAGUACUCUGUGGUAUUCAUAUCCUGGUUACCAGGAGCAGGUAACAGAAAUGAUGAAAUGACAGUUCUAAAAGUGAUUUAAAAAGUUAUUUUGCUUAUUUUGAAUAGAAGACUUUUUCUUAAAAAUAUUUAAUUGUAUAAAACACAUAUUUAUAUACAUAUCUUUCUUUAAGAUGGUUCUAAAUAAGCUGAUAUCAGGGUUUUUGUUUUUUUGUUUUGUUGGGACUUGAACUCAAGCUCUUGACCACAAUAGGUAAAUACUGUACCACUGAAACACACCAUAAACUGACAUAAUUUAUUAAAAUGCUUUCAUUUAAAAUACAAAGAAAAAUUAAUAUUAAUGAAGGCAAUUAUAAAUCAACAAGAAAAAUGUUUAUUCUGAAAAAAGAUUAAUUUGCAAGAAAUUGCACGGCCUUAGAAUGUUUAAUGUUAAGUGAUAUCACACAGUCUUAGAAAGAAAACAACCUUGUGUUCUCUCCCAUAUAUAGACUCUAACCAAUACAUAGUACAUGUAUAUAUAAGCAGAUAUACAUGGGGUAUAGUGUAACAAGUUAACAAAAAUGGCUAAAUAUUAGAGGAUGUGGAAAGAUUGAAUUCAAUAAUGAACAUGAGUUAUGAAAAAGGAUAGAAUUGUGUUUCUAGUUCUAACUCAUAGAUUUCUCAUAUUUGAUGGUGGGUAAGUGCAUAAAAACGUACUUGAUGGUGAGAGUGUCACAUCUAAGUGAGGGCCCACAACUUCUGUUUUGAAAUGCUACUCUAACUAUGGAUGCUCAUUGUCAAAUCUAAGUGAGGGCCCACAGCUUCUGUUUUGAAAUGCUACUCUAACUGUGGAUGCUCAUUGAGUUCUGUUGUUUUUGGAUCAGGUUAAUUUUGGU